CAGAAUGCUAGACCUGGUAUCGCUAGGUAUCGGAUUGAAAAUAAUCCAGUGUUUCCUGGUAACCGUUUCCAAUGAAGCGCAAGUGCGUGACGUCGCAGCAGCGCGGCAGAUGCACGCGGACUGGAAUUAACGUUAACUGUCCGAGCGCGCGAGAGACCGACAGACAAUCCCGGGCAGGAAGAAUGCUCUGAAUACACGGACUUUCCCCCCUAUGGCGAUGGAAAAACGUUUCGUAUAGCCUGCUCGGGAGAAGAAGAAGAAGAAGGAAAAAAAAGAAAAAAAAACAACCCAUAUGCAUCCUGUUGACCUUGGGCUGUUGUGCAUUGUAAACAUAUGGUUUCAGGUCUGUUUAUGUUUACUGAAGAGUUAUACUGUAUAUCUACUUAAUAAUGCAUCACAGCACUAUCCUCAAUAUUGUGAAUGGGCUGUGUAACAAAUCAGUACGUGAAUCUGAUUAGUCCACAUUAAUCUGUGUUUGCAUUUCAAAUCAAUCCAGAGGAAAAGAAAAGAACACCGAACUGUGUUAUAGCAAGGAUUCAUGUACACCUAAUGUGCAUUACUGUUUUCUACAGGUGCAUUUUGUAGGUAUGCAGUUACAUACCUACAAAACAGUUAUCUGUUGCUAUGCACAGUUUCUCAGCUCCCCUAGUGCAAAUUGGACAGAGGUACAUAGGCAUGUAUAAUAAGAAUACUCUGCUGAUCUGAGAAGGGUCCACACAGUUAUAUCAUGGAGUCAUGGGUGUUUUUCAUCAUUGCACAUCAAAUGCAAAAUGAGCACUAUGAUUUUUUUAUGGAAAUUCUGUCACCAUAAGAGUUAGGAGUCAAAAGAUUGUCCAACCCCGAACGCAUUUAAGUCGAUUUCCAAUCGUUAGAUGUAAAUGGGUCAAGUAAAUUCCACGAACGCAAUGUAUGGCUUACUUAAGAGUUCUACAGAAUAAUACUUCGUAGUCAUGCUUAUAUUUAAUAAAUUAGUCUUAUUAGCAUCCACGUAUAUAUUUCUAUGCAAGUUUGGGGAUAUUGUAUAAAAAAGGCUGGAUGGAAACACCAGAUGUGAAUAAAAUCUCCAAAAUAUGCAUAAAAAAACCUAAGAGCUCAAUUGAUA
Molecule: long non-coding RNA, 1102 nt
Organism: Ictalurus punctatus (channel catfish)
Lineage: Eukaryota; Metazoa; Chordata; Actinopteri; Siluriformes; Ictaluridae
Source: Ensembl